RNAcentral lists this long non-coding RNA (5099 nucleotides) under Amborella trichopoda. Its description in RNAcentral is "long non-coding RNA (ATRI_LNC001593)". Lineage: Eukaryota; Viridiplantae; Streptophyta; Magnoliopsida; Amborellales; Amborellaceae. The record is from RNAcentral.
UCUGGAAAGGCUUAGCGCUUUAAGAUGUCAAAUCGUAUUUCAUAUUUUGACAUAUAAGUUGAGCGUGAGUACGUUAUUUAUAGAAUUUCUUACUGCAGUAGGAAUCACUUCCUUUUUGAAGUAAUAUCCCCGGACAAACAUUACUCUUAUGAGAAACAAAUCAGAAUAAGUGAAAUAAAACAAAAGCAUAGAAUUAUCUUAAGGGUGCGGAUUGUAUAAAGCCUAGGCUCUAAACAAUCAAAUUAGAGCCUACUUCAAAUAGUAUAGAGAAAUGUGGUUUCAAUACUGGAAAUCUUAGUGAUAGCCUUAAAAUAUAUUUUCAUCUUUAUUUAUAAAGUUCAAUGCUUCAAAAAUAAUGUAGAUCGACAGAUCUAUGAAAACUUCAAAAUCUUGAAAAUUGACAGUCCAAAAAUGUGUUAUAAAAUAUACCAUUUGCAAAACUCGAAAUCCAUUUUUUUCUCAUGUCCAUGCAUCUUGAUGUCGAGAUGAUCAAUUUGAGCAUAUUUGGGCAUCAAAACAACUUCUUCCAGUGAAAUUUUUGAGGUAGGCUCAAAUUUGAUUGUUUAGAGCCUCAGCUCUAUAUAAACUUUUCCCUUAUCUUAAUAAACAAUUCAAGUAACUGAAACUGUGACAUUCUGGAACUAUUUAUCAAAAAUAACAUUUUGGAACUUUAGUAUUAUUCUGACUUCUACCUAGUGCAUAUCUUGUAAACGCCUACUUCACUGAUAUUAAAGAGCAAUCAAUAUGCCGCAAAAAUGGUCCCAUCACAGAUAAAACCACACUAAAGACAUGUCCAAAGAAACAUACGCAAUUUUAAUAAGAUUUUUUAUAUUCUUAACGAUAUAUUACUUAUAGAAAUAAUGUACAAAGGUCCUCACAGGAAGUGAGCUUAAGGCAGCUGACAAGUCCUGUGCUCUAUACAAAAAAAUGCUUUAGUAUUAAUAAAAAAGAGUGAUUGGCAGCCUACACCUCAAGUGCUCAAGCAAGUGAGUAGAGAAGGAGAUAAAAGAAACAGCAGAGUAUAAAACGGAAGAAAGAUGGUGGGGUUGAGAGAAUAGGAGAGCAGAAGUUGUGAUAGAGAGGAAAGAAGGUGAGUUACAGGGAAAAAGUGAUUAACAAGAGACCGAGUAGUUAUAGGAAAGUGAAUUAGAGACAGAGAGAGCAUAUUUUAAAGAAGGGAGGGGAAGAGAGAAAAGUAAGAUGGGUGAGAAUGGAAGAGAGAGAAAAGAAACAAGUUUCUUUUUUCUUUUCUUUUUUUGUGUGUUGGGGGGGGGGGUGUAGAACAAGGAAGAGAGAGGAAUGUCAAAGGAGAUCCAAAAAGUAUGCAUCCAAAAGAGUACACUUUUAAAGGACUUUAGCUUGUUGGUGAGGCAACACUAGCAGUGCCCUCCUUAGCCAGAGCUCUGCAGCCACGUUGGCUUCCACCAAAUAUGAUGGAAGACAACUCAAAGCAGCCUGCAUAGCUCGAAAACCCGUUAAAUAUAUAAGAAAAAUGCCAAAGUUUCAUUCAUCCUUUGAGCCCAAAGUACAAUAUUCUUGGAGUCACCUUCAACUAUUAGAUUUUCACCCCAAGUUGUAUUAGACAUUUUCGAGCCUUCAAGGAGAACAUUUGUCUCAGUCCAGAUGGCGCCAGCAAUGUUAACGGAGCCAAAAAAAGAGAAUAAGAUGCUGCCUUCAUAGUCCCUGAAGAUACGCCCGAAACCAAAAGGACCUGGGUUCCCUUCGUCACAUCCAUCAAAGUUGAGCUUUACUGUGCCUUGAAUUGAAGGGAUCCCCAAAGUAGAUCGUUUUGGUUUGAGAGGUUUAAGAGUGAUUGCGUCACCCAAAUGUGACAGAAAGGCAGACUUGGAGAAAGGCUCUUCUGCUGGGUCUCAAAAGAUUCAACCCCUCUUGGGGUCAACACUAGGUGGUGGAAGGAGACGCCCAAAACAUCAUUUCUUGGGCAGCAGGCACCUCCCCUUCUCCUUGGUACCUCUCCACGAUUUUUGAUGAAAUCAACUAUAUAUGCAGGGAUAUGAACGUCUUAUGGAGGCAUACUUGGCGGAUGUCAAACAAGCUCGCCGAUCUUCUUGCUAAAGACGGAGCACGGGCAAGUGUGGAAGACCCUGACCAGUCCAUCUCCUUUUUUGCUCUGGACCAUAGAGGCUUCCCUGGACUAUAGUUACCUUUUCUUUUUUACUGUACUUGGGCGUCUCUUAUAAGCCCCUUUUUGGCUACUCGCUAAUUUUUUGUAAUCCGGCAGGACAGGGCUGAUUUUUUGUAUAGGGUCUCUGGACCUAUUUUUUGACCAAGGUACCCGCCUCGGGGGUACUCGAGGUCCUCUCUCCCCCCCUUUCACUUGUAUUCUCUCUCUUAUAGCAAUACAAAGUUAACAUUAUCAAAAAAAAAAGGCAGACUUGGAGAAGUGUUAAAGGAGUUUGCGGUUUGUAGCCCAAAAGAUGGCAAGAAUUUGGGAAUGAUCUGCAAUAUUUGAUCUCGUCUUUUGUUUUCCUCUAAAAAUUCUUGAGUUUGAAAGAUGGACAAUGUGAUCUAGGCAAGUAUAUCCAGUUGAAAAAAUUUUGUUCUUUUUUUUAUUCAUAUUGGUUAGAACACUGACUGGUGUCCAAAAUUACAAGUAUAUUCAUAAAAAUAAACCCUAAAUCUUCUCAUGCGUACAAUUACAAUUCUUUACAAUCAUAUAAAAAUACAAUGCAUGAAGAAUCAAGAAACAUGGAGCCAUAGAAUUACCGAACACCUUGCCUCAAGUUACCCACAAGGACUUCGUACACCCCAUAUCGAGUCUCCUCCACCAAUGGCACACGAGAUCUCGGUUCUAACCUUGUCUCAUAAUUCAAGAAGCCUACACAAAACCUCUUGAGAAUAUGACAUGGGACGAAAGCAAUCUCAUACCACAAGACAUAGGCACAUGUACUAUCUGCUCUAGGGCAUGUCAUCCCUUGGUGGCUUGGGCUUGCCCCUUAGGGUUUCACCACACACACACACACACACAAUGUUUGAAACCCUAAAACAAAGAGAAACAAGAGAGAGAGAGAGAGUGGGGGGUACCUGCUUGUGGGUGAAAGAGAGAGGCCAAUCCAAUUCCAAGUAUGUAGAGAACACACCCCAUAUAAAAUCUAGGGUAUUGGGGUCUAGGGUCUUUCCAUCAUUACGAGAUUUAAUCCUGAUCGUAGAUCACGGAGACCUGUGGGGUGAAGAGAUCUUAGCCCUUCAUUCCUUAGAUCAACCAUCAUGAUUAGAUGAAUGAGCUAGAACCAUUAUCCCUCAGUUUCCAUAACUCUAUUCCUAUCAAAUAUUUGUGUAGAGAAAAUACUAUGUAUUUACAUAUUAGAUUUCAAUCAAUCUCUACACCUUCGUAUUUUAAAACAAUCAAUACUCAUUUCACAAAACCUUCCUUUAAUUUCAAAUCAAUUAGGUGGCUUCCAUCACAAGCCACACUCAAAAGGAAAGAAUGAAGUAAGUUGAGCUUCCCACACAUGGUGGGCAAUGUGGGCCCCACACCCCCACCCAAUGGGCUCAUAUGUGGCGAGCCCAAAGUCCUAAUGGUCCCCCAUACGCCCAAAAGAAUUUUAUAUUAAUAAAAUGAAUUUUAGAAAACCAAUAAAUAUUUUUUCCUUCUCUAUGAAUUAAAUAAAUCUAGAAAUUUGAUUUUUGCUUAUUUAAAAAUCCUUUUUCACCAAAAUAAAAUAUCCAGAGAGAUCUUUAUACUUAAGAGUAUUAAAGUCAACUAAUAAAUGAAGGAGACACGAUCCUAGCCCAUGGAUUACAAUUUCCUCCCUGAGGAGGAGUCCAAGACCCAUACUAGCACAAUACCUCAUGAGUCCCUCUAACACAAUCCAGUGUUGUAGGUAAACAUCUCUUCGGCACAUGUACACGACACACCCUCACUUAGACGGCUACUUCCAAGACGGCUAGUGUACAUACCGUGCAAUGGUAAUGAAGAGGCCCUUGUCCUCACUGGCCAACCACCGCACACAGGGGUCACACCCAGUCCCUUAGCCAACCACCUUGAGCACAACUCCAACCUCACCAAGGGAUGCAGCACAUCAAAACCCUUAUCAGUUGUGCACAAAUGCCCAGGGCUACAAGUUUUUAAACAUCAACCUGAGCCGUAGCCCAUCAAAACUCAGGUGAGUCACAGCAUCAGUGAUACCUCACAGACCCUAGACCAUGCCACAAAGUCCAUUCAGACCACGCUCCACUAGAGCUAUCACAUCCCUAUAGUCAUAGUUUUACAUGCUCUCAUAAGGCCCUUAAAUGGCCACACAACCCCAACAGAGUUUUUCUCCCCAAAGAUCGUCCAUAGAGUGGAGAGCCCUCCAAAGGAAGAUGAUUGCUUUUGGAUUGGGGGCGCGGGGUGUAGAAGAAGGCCAAGAAGAGUUGUUUCGGUGGAACUGGUGAUCACCACUGCCAAUUGAAAUCUUUCAAGUUGAUGGCCCAAAGAGCAUCAAUGAAACUACAAUGAAGGAAGUGGAGACUAUGAGUUUCCUAUGCUUCCAAGCACAUACUAGAAUCGAUUCGCAAGUGGAAAAACCUCUUAUUUGUAAUUGUUCCACAGUGAGAUUAUGAUUGCAGAUCACCAGCCAACCAAAGGUGUGCUUUUGGGAAGGACUUUAUAGAACGAUGAUAUUAAGAAAAUUCCAGUAUGGGACUAGGUCCAAAUUCUUUUCAUCACAAUCAAAGUUGGAAAUGGAAAAGGCUAACAAAAGACUACGAAGGGUCAGGAGGACUUCGGUCUCAUAGUCCGAGAGUGAUCUUCUAAAGGUGGUGUUCUAAACAACUAAGUGUUGAGAGAUGUUCGAGCAUUGGACUACCAUGGCAUUGGGAGGGCCGAUAAUUUGGAGAAGGUUUGGCUACAAGACUUUGAGAGGAUGUGAUCCAAUCAGGUGUUGGGCAAUAAGACACAUGUUGCCUCGGCUCACCUUGUAUCUAAUGAAGGAUAAACCAUUGCCAACAUUCAUAGAUACUCAUCUAUACCAUAGGGCCAAUUUCUUCGUACCUUAAGAGAAAAACCAACCAAGAAUGUCUAUUCCAUAUAUGCGAAAAAAGACCUCUCACCAUAGAAGGUCAUGGCCAUUGGCAAAAUGCCACCACCAUUUCCC